AUAUUAGUAAGCGGAGGAAAAGAAACUAACAAGGAUUCCCUCAGUAGCGGCGAGUGAAGCGGGAACAGCUCAAAUUUGAAAUCUCGGCACUUUGUGCUGCGAAUUGUAGUCUAAAGACGGUUAUCAAGGCUGAAGCACUGAACAAGUUCCUUGGAAUAGGACGCCAGAGAGGGUGAGAGUCCCGUUGUGUCAGUGCGGAGGCUGCAUGAGAGCCAGUCAAAGAGUCGAGUUGCUUGGGAAUGCAGCUCAAUAAGUGGGAAGU
Molecule: ribosomal RNA, 262 nt
Filed under: uncultured eukaryote
Lineage: Eukaryota
Description: partial large subunit ribosomal RNA
Rfam family: Eukaryotic large subunit ribosomal RNA
Source: RNAcentral